Molecule: unclassified non-coding RNA, 312 nt
Filed under: soil metagenome
Description: partial contains 5.8S ribosomal RNA, internal transcribed spacer 2, and large subunit ribosomal RNA
Rfam family: 5.8S ribosomal RNA (bases 1-121)
Source: RNAcentral
GAUGAAGAACGUAGCGAAAUGCGAUAAGUAAUGCGAAUUGCAGAAUUUCCGUGAGUCAUCGAAUCUUUGAACGCACAUUGCACCCCUUGGUAAUCCUUGGGGUAUACCUGUUCGAGCGCCGUUUGUGUCUAAGGCAUUGCCUUGCGUUGAUGAUGCCCCGAGAGGGGCUCGUCCAAACACAUCGGCGCCCGUCUCGACUCCGAACGCAACGAAAUGCGGGAAUGGUGUUUGACGGGCGGCCAGUUUCCGAAAGCAUGGCCUCGGAUCAGGUAGGGAUACCCGCUGAACUUAAGCAUAUCAAUAAGCGGAGGA